Molecule: long non-coding RNA, 323 nt
Filed under: Triticum aestivum (bread wheat)
Lineage: Eukaryota; Viridiplantae; Streptophyta; Magnoliopsida; Poales; Poaceae
Description: long non-coding RNA (TAES_LNC011275)
Source: RNAcentral
CGUUAGUGGUGCCCAUAGUGGGAUCCCCAGGGGUUAAUGCCGUGUUAUCUCAGGCAUCCCCAAGAUUAGGUGUGAAACGAUCGUCGCCAACACUGCCUCAGAUUCCUUGUAAGUUUUAAUGUCUAUUCUACACACACAUGUUAAGUUUUAAUGUCAAUUGUGCGCAUAUCUCAAAUGUCUUGGCAUAAGUUAUUUGUUCAUCUCAAAUUCCGUAGGUCUUUCACAUAAAAGAAAAAGAAGGAAACUUAAAUCUGAAAUCUGGAAUGAUUUUGAUCCUGUGUAUGAUGGCAACAAACUCAAGGAAGCCCACUGUAAACAUUGCA